UAGCUUAAAACAAAUGCUCUUUUUUGGUUUGCAAGAAAACAACAGUUGGCAGAACUAGUUUGAGAAAAAUUUGAAUGAGAGCUCUCUUGGACGAAAGAAGAAGAUGGAAAGAAGAAAGAUUUUACCUUUAAUAUAAUUAAAAUUUGAAUCCUAUCUUUUAAGUUACUGCAUAAAGCAUUUAAUGGGCAAUAUAGUUUGCAACAUACUUACACUAUAUCC
This 219-nucleotide long non-coding RNA is filed under the name Elaeis guineensis (African oil palm). RNAcentral describes it as "long non-coding RNA (EGUI_LNC008255)". Lineage: Eukaryota; Viridiplantae; Streptophyta; Magnoliopsida; Arecales; Arecaceae. The record is from RNAcentral.